RNAcentral lists this ribosomal RNA (1242 nucleotides) under metagenome. RNAcentral's name for it is "bacterial LSU rRNA". It matches the Rfam family "Bacterial large subunit ribosomal RNA", at positions 1564 to 2815 of the family's 2925-position model. The record is from RNAcentral.
UGAAUACGAGAUGCUACGGCGUCGAAGCAGUGUAUGUCAGACUUCCAAGAAAAGCUCGCAAUGUCAUAAAUAAAGAAUGCCUGUACCAUAACCGACACAGGUGGGUAGGUAGAGUAUACUAAGGGGCGCGAGAUAACUCUCUCUAAGGAACUCGGCAAAAUAACUCCGUAACUUCGGGAGAAGGAGUGCCUUCUUUAAGAAGGUUGCAAUAACAAGAUCCAAGCAACUGUUUAUCAAAAACACAGGUCUCCGCUAAGUCGUAAGACGAUGUAUGGGGGCUGACGCCUGCCCAGUGCCAGAAGGUUAAAGAAGCUGGUUAGCGAUAGCGAAGCUGGUGACUGAAGCCCUGGUGAACGGCGGCCGUAACUAUAACGGUCCUAAGGUAGCGAAAUUCCUUGUCGGGUAAGUUCCGACCCGCACGAAAGGCGUAAUGAUUUGGAUACUGUCUCGGAGAGGGACUCGGUGAAAUAGACUUGUCUGUGAAGAUGCGGACUACCUGCACCAGGACAGAAAGACCCUAUGAAGCUUUACUGUAACCUGAAAUUGAAAUUGACUUUAUUUGCGCAGUAUAGGUGGGAGGCGUUGAAAGUAAUCUUGCGGGAUUAGUGGAGCCAUCAGUGAGAUACCACUCCUAUAAUGUUAGAUUUCUAACUUUGGAUCAUGAUCUGGUCAAAGAACAGUUUCAGGCGGGCAGUUUGACUGGGGCGGUCGCCUCCCAAAUGGUAACGGAGGCGUACAAAGGUUUCCUCUGAACGGGUAGAAAUCGUAUCUAGAGUGUAAAGGCAUAAGGAAGCUUGACUGUGAGACCUACAAGUCGAGCAGGGACGAAAGUCGGUCUUAGUGAUCUGACGGUGCUGAGUGGAAAGGCCGUCACUCAACGGAUAAAAGUUACUCUAAGGAUAACAGGCUGAUCUCCCCCAAGAGUUCACAUCGACGGGGAGGUUUGGCACCUCGAUGUCGGCUCAUCGCAUCCUGGGGCGGUAGUACGUCCCAAGGGUUGGGCUGUUCGCCCAUGAAAGCGGUACGCGAGCUGGGUUCAGAACGUCGUGAGACAGUUCGGUCCAUAUCCGGUGUAGGCGUUAGAAUAUUGAGAGGAGCCUUCUCUAGUACGAGAGGACCGAGAAGGACAUACCUCUGGUGUACCAGUUAUCGUGCCAACGGUAAACGCUGGGUAGCUAUGUAUGGAGAGGAUAACCGCUGAAAGCAUCUAAGUGGGAAGCCCACCUCAAGAUGAGUAUUCUC